RNAcentral lists this ribosomal RNA (253 nucleotides) under uncultured bacterium. RNAcentral's name for it is "partial 16S ribosomal RNA". It matches the Rfam family "Bacterial small subunit ribosomal RNA", at positions 524 to 776 of the family's 1533-position model. The record is from RNAcentral.
UACGUAGGGAGCAAGCGUUGUCCGGAAUCAUUGGGCGUAAAGCGCGCGUAGGUGGCCUCAUAAGUCCGCUGUGAAAGUCGGGGGCUCAACCCUCGGAUGCCGGUGGAUACUGUCGGGCUCGAGUACGGAAGAGGCGAGUGGAAUUCCUGGUGUAGCGGUGAAAUGCGCAGAUAUCAGGAGGAACACCAAUUGCGAAGGCAGCUCGCUGGGACGUUACUGACGCUGAGACGCGAAAGCGUGGGGAGCAAACAGG